CCUACGGGAGGCAGCAGUGGGGACUUUUGCGCAAUGCUCGUAAGAGUGACGCAGCGACGCCGCGUGAAUGACGAAGGCCUUCGGGUCGUAAAGUUCUUUCGACAGGGAAGAAAAUGCCUAUAAGUAACUGUGUAUGUAUUGACGGUACCUGUAUAAGCAGCCCCGGCUAACUCCGUGCCAGCAGCCGCGGUAAUACGGAGGGGGCGAGCGUUGUUCGGAGGGACUGGGCGUAAAGAGCACGUAGGCGGUGUUGUAAGUCAUUAGUCAAAGACUAGAGCUCAACUUUAGUAAGGCUAGUGAUACUAUAAUACUAGAGUAUCAGAGAGGAUUGCAGAAUUCCUGGUGUAGCGGUGAAAUGCGUAGAUAUCAGGAGGAAUACCGUUAGCGAAGGCGGCAAUCUGGCUGGAAACUGACGCUGAGGUGCGAAAGCGUGGGUAGCAAACAGGAUUAGAUACCCCUGUAGUC
RNAcentral lists this ribosomal RNA (465 nucleotides) under uncultured bacterium. Its description in RNAcentral is "partial 16S ribosomal RNA". It matches the Rfam family "Bacterial small subunit ribosomal RNA", at positions 338 to 795 of the family's 1533-position model. The record is from RNAcentral.